Long non-coding RNA from Erinaceus europaeus (western European hedgehog), 409 nucleotides. RefSeq lists it as uncharacterized. The transcript has 4 exons. NCBI's taxonomy places the organism in Eukaryota, Metazoa, Chordata, Mammalia, Eulipotyphla, Erinaceidae. The record is from RefSeq and is a predicted model, not a curated record.
CUACUACUGUCAACUGCUUUUACCUCCCGACUUCCCAUCUCUCUCUCUCUCUCUCUCAUUCUCUCUCCCUCCCUCCUUUUUCUUCCCACAUUUUGAAGUUCUUUCUCCUCACUCAUAGGCUCUUCCAACAAGAACAAGUGCUUUAAUUUUUAUGCUCCAUAAGAGAAGUGUUUCUCCUAACUUGUGCCAUUCCCAUUUGCAGGUAACUUAAAGGAGGGUCAGUUGAGAAAAACAUUGCUUCAAAUUGACACUUGCAUGAGAAGUAACUGUAGGCAUGACAUCCUGUUUUCUCUGCUGCAUCUGAUGUGCUCACCCAGGCCAAACGCAGAAUAAAGAACGGUCACCACUAUGCGGCUCAGAAGAGAAAUAGGGUUAUCACCAACUAUCACCGGAAGAGCUCAGACUCAGG